Molecule: long non-coding RNA, 596 nt
Organism: Cornus florida
Lineage: Eukaryota; Viridiplantae; Streptophyta; Magnoliopsida; Cornales; Cornaceae
Exons: 2
Source: RefSeq, a predicted model, not a curated record
UUUCUCUUUGAACAGUAUAUACUUCUUUUCAACAUGGUUGCUUUAAAUUUCGAAAAGACCAUACUCAUAAUAAUUCUGGCCGAAAUCCUUGCCAGAUUCCGUGGUGGGUCAGGACUGCGGUUGUGCUACAGACCUGUGCUGUAGUGAGCAUGGAUAUUGUGGCGUUGGGGAUGCCUAUUGCCUCACAAGUUGCCGAGAGGGUCCUUGCUAUGUCACACCUAGUAGUUGUGUCUCUGUCGCUUAUACUUUGACAGACGCAUUCUUUAACGCCAUCAUUGGCCAAGCCGGUGCAGAUUGUGCCGGCAAGAAUUAUUGUUGUUUUCAGGUACGGAUGCCUUUAUUUGGGAUGCACAACAUCACUAGGUCAUUUUGAUGGAUUGAAGUUCUUUUAAGUGUAUUCUUGUUCACAUGCAAGUGUUAGCAUGCUUGAUUUUUUACUUUUAAAGUUGAAAUAGAUAGUUAGGUCAAAAAUGUCAUUUUUUCCUUGAAACUUGUAAGGUAUGCCUAAGCACACUUUUUGACACUUAUUUCAUGUAUAAGAUAUGUGGCAAAGGGCUAAACUUCAUUUGAAAUCCAUAUAUAUUCAUAUGUUGAAA